CUCGAACUGUCUAGAGUGCGGUCUUUUAUCGCAACUGCGAGCUGAGUAACGCCCAGUGUUUUGACAGCAGCUCGAGACUUGGAGGGGGGCUUAAUUGCCUAUAUGCUCAGGCCAACACCAGCAACCUUAGCUCGAACUCAUCGCUGUCUGAGCUACCACACUGGGAAUUUAUUUUGAGGUGCAAACUCAAGUGCUCAAAUGAGACUGAUGAGUCAUUUAGAAUAAAUACUUGAUAUCCGGUGUCCGACUCAUCCUUGGGGGAGUAUUCUUGGUGCCUCAUCAUCCAAUACUGGAGGAUGGACCUACCACCCCACCACCAGGGGCGGCCUAGAAAUCCAUGUCCAGUCACAGAAUGUUUUGCAGCGAUCAAGACUUCUGAAUCCGAGUGCAGAGAGCCUAACAAGCCAGCGCCUGAGCCCAGGAUUUGCAGGAUAAUCCAGAGCACCGAUAUUGGGGACAAGCCCAUAAGACCACCACACGGCGAAGGCGACCUGGAACAUACCAUUGUGGGGAGAGUCACUAAGAUUACUGAGGCCACGUCCAGAGUGCUGUAUUAGAAGGACCAGAAAAUCAUGAAAGAUUGUUGCUGGAUUUAGAAGUACUUAAGGAAACGUAGGAAGACUGCUUAUUUGUUACCUCAUGGAGGAAUGACACAGAAGGAGUUGUAACUCAUGCACUUCAAAGCGUCCAAUGAUGGUCGCCGCCGAG
This is a long non-coding RNA of Acanthaster planci (crown-of-thorns starfish), 708 nucleotides long. The record is from RefSeq and is a predicted model, not a curated record. Lineage: Eukaryota; Metazoa; Echinodermata; Asteroidea; Valvatida; Acanthasteridae.